CAGCAGCCGCGGGAAUACGAAGGGGGCUAGCGUUGCUCGGAAUGACUGGGCGUAAAGGGCGCGUAGGCGGCUUGCACAGUCAGAUGUGAAAUUCCUGGGCUUAACCUGGGGGCUGCAUUUGAUACGUGUGGGCUAGAGUGUGAAAGAGGGUCGUGGAAUUCCCAGUGUAGAGGUGAAAUUCGUAGAUAUUGGGAAGAACACCGGUGGCGAAGGCGGCGACCUGGUUCAUGACUGACGCUGAGGCGCGAAAGCGUGGGGAGCAAACAGGAUUAGAUACCCCUGUAGUCCCUGUCUCUUAUAC
Molecule: ribosomal RNA, 301 nt
Filed under: uncultured bacterium
Lineage: Bacteria
Description: partial 16S ribosomal RNA
Rfam family: Bacterial small subunit ribosomal RNA
Source: RNAcentral